AUUGAACGCUGGCGGCAUGCUUUACACAUGCAAGUCGAACGGCAGCGCGGGCUUCGGCCUGGCGGCGAGUGGCGAACGGGUGAGUAAUGCAUCGGAACGUGCCCAGCAGUGGGGGAUAGCCCGGCGUAAGCCGGAUUAAUACCGCACACGACCUGAGGGUGAAAGCCGGGGACCGAAAGGCCUCGCGCUAUUGGCGCGGCCGAUGUCGGAUUAGCUAGUUGGUGGGGUAAAGGCUUACCAAGGCGACGAUCCGUAGCUGGUCUGAGAGGACGACCAGCCACACUGGGACUGAGACACGGCCCAGACUCCUACGGGAGGCAGCAGUGGGGAAUUUUGGACAAUGGGGGCAACCCUGAUCCAGCCAUGCCGCGUGCGGGAAGAAGGCCUUCGGGUUGUAAACCGCUUUUGUUCGGGAAGAAAUCCUCUGGGCUAAUACCCCGGGGGGAUGACGGUACCGGAAGAAUAAGCACCGGCUAACUACGUG
RNAcentral lists this ribosomal RNA (484 nucleotides) under uncultured bacterium. Its description in RNAcentral is "partial 16S ribosomal RNA". It matches the Rfam family "Bacterial small subunit ribosomal RNA", at positions 28 to 507 of the family's 1533-position model. The record is from RNAcentral.